AUGGGGGUGGAAAUCCUGAGCUCCAUGGUGGAGCACUCCUUCCAGUACUCUUCCGGCGUGUCCACGGCCACGACGGAGUCAGGCACCGCCGGAACACCGCCGAGGCCUUUGAGCCUACCUGUCGCCAUCGCCGACGAGUCCGUGACCUCGCGGUCGGCGUCGUCUCGGUUCAAGGGCGUGGUGCCGCAGCCAAACGGGCGAUGGGGCGCCCAGAUCUACGAGCGCCACGCUCGCGUCUGGCUCGGCACGUUCCCAGACCAGGACUCGGCGGCGCGCGCCUACGACGUAGCCUCGCUCAGGUACCGCGGCCGCGACGUCGCCUUCAACUUCCCGUGCGCGGCCGUGGAGGGGGAGCUCGCCUUCCUGGCGGCGCACUCCAAGGCUGAGAUAGUGGACAUGCUCCGGAAGCAGACCUACGCCGAUGAACUCCGCCAGGGCCUGCGGCGCGGCCGUGGCAUGGGGGCGCGCGCGCAGCCGACGCCGUCGUGGGCGCGGGAGCCCCUUUUCGAGAAGGCCGUGACCCCUAGCGAUGUCGGCAAGCUCAAUCGCCUCGUAGUGCCGAAGCAGCACGCCGAGAAGCACUUCCCCCUGAAGCGCACGCCGGAGACGCCGACCACCACCGGCAAGGGCGUGCUGCUCAACUUCGAGGACGGCGAGGGGAAGGUGUGGAGGUUCCGGUACUCGUACUGGAACAGCAGCCAGAGCUACGUGCUCACCAAAGGCUGGAGCCGCUUCGUCCGGGAGAAGGGCCUAGGUGCCGGCGACUCCAUCCUAUUCUCGUGCUCGCUGUACGAACAGGAGAAGCAGUUCUUCAUCGACUGCAAGAAGAACACUAGCAUGAACGGAGGCAAAUCGGCGUCGCCGCUGCCAGUGGGGGUGACUACCAAAGGAGAACAAGUUCGCGUCGUUAGGCUAUUCGGUGUCGACAUCUCGGGAGUGAAGAGGGGGCGAGCGGCGACGGCAACGGCGGAGCAAGGCCUGCAGGAGUUGUUCAAGAGGCAAUGCGUGGCACCCGGCCAGCACUCUCCUGCCCUAGGUGCCUUCGCCUUAUAG
Molecule: ribosomal RNA, 1053 nt
Filed under: Triticum aestivum (bread wheat)
Lineage: Eukaryota; Viridiplantae; Streptophyta; Magnoliopsida; Poales; Poaceae
Description: partial small subunit ribosomal RNA
Source: RNAcentral